Long non-coding RNA from Wyeomyia smithii (pitcher-plant mosquito), 710 nucleotides. RefSeq lists it as uncharacterized. The transcript is spliced from 2 exons. The record is from RefSeq and is a predicted model, not a curated record. NCBI's taxonomy places the organism in Eukaryota, Metazoa, Arthropoda, Insecta, Diptera, Culicidae.
ACCUGUCACAGAACAAUGAACCAAAACAAAACUCAUCAAUUAAAUAAUGGUUCAAUUACACCAUCGCCAAACAUUCAGUUCGUGAGUGCGUGCAUAAUAGUGUCGUGAUGGGUAGCCGUUUCCCAUAUCAAAAUUCGGUGAAAAACGGCCAACAUUCCUCCUCCCGCGAAGGCGGCAACCAUUUUCGGCGUCCGGAAGAAAUAACUGAGCAUGAUGCCGUUAACCAACGCUUCCUGGAACGCAACAAUCCACCCGAAAAGAUCGUUUGUCUCUCCUGCGGAGAGGAAUUUCUCAAGGAAACCAUCGCCGAAAUAAUGAAGCACUAUGGGGAUCAAGCGCACGAUCGGUUCUAUACUGCCUGCCUAUACUGUCAGGGCAAGAUCCACCGCUAUCGGGAUAGUAAAGGGGUGCAGUACUACCACGAUUGCUACCGAUCCACCAACAAGCUGGACCAGUGAAGCGUACUACAAUGGAUGUUACGCUUUUUUUCAGCAUUAUUAUUGCGAGAAAGUAAAAAAAGAUCAACUCUUGCCAACUAGAAGCUCAUGUUCCAAAGAUUAGUAACUAACAUCUAGUAGCUUUUGUUUAUUAUUCUCGAAAAGUAUCUCCGAAGACUGAGAAAAAAUGUGACUCAUUCCAUCAGUAUUUAUAGAUGGAAUAGACCUGUAAACUGUAUUUUGAAGUAUUUAAUAAAUCGCUUAAAUACCAAG